RNAcentral lists this ribosomal RNA (512 nucleotides) under uncultured bacterium. RNAcentral's name for it is "partial 16S ribosomal RNA". It matches the Rfam family "Bacterial small subunit ribosomal RNA", at positions 28 to 507 of the family's 1533-position model. The record is from RNAcentral.
GAUGAACGCUGGCGGCGUGCCUAAUACAUGCAAGUCGAACGAAACUUCUUUAUCACCGAGUGCUUGCACUCACCGAUAAAGAGUUGAGUGGCGAACGGGUGAGUAACACGUGGGCAACCUGCCCAAAAGAGGGGGAUAACACUUGGAAACAGGUGCUAAUACCGCAUAACCAUAGUUACCGCAUGGUAACUAUGUAAAAGGUGGCUAUACUACCGCUUUUGGAUGGGCCCGCGGCGCAUUAGCUAGUUGGUAGGGUAAAGGCUUACCAAGGCAAUGAUGCGUAGCCGAAUUGAGAGGUUGAUCGGCCACAUUGGGACUGAGACACGGCCCAAACUCCUACGGGAGGCAGCAGUAGGGAAUCUUCCACAAUGGGCGAAAGCCUGAUGGAGCAACGCCGCGUGGGUGAAGAAGGUCUUCGGAUCGUAAAACCCUGUUGUUAGAGAAGAAAGUGCGUGAGAGUAACUGCUCACGUUUCGACGGUAUCUAACCAGAAAGCCACGGCUAACUACGUG